CCCCCUUUUUGGCUAAGAUCAAAGUGUAGUAUCCGUUCUUAUCAUCUUAAUAGCUGAUAUCGUCUAUAUUUGGGGCGAUCGAUAUUAAACUGAUUUUUAAAAUGAGGCGAAGAGUUAAGGGUUUGCUCCGCCUUUGCCACGGGAUUGGCCUGGUAUUGCAAUAUUGCAGUAUCUAUAGGGGCGUU
Small nuclear RNA from Octopus sinensis (East Asian common octopus), 185 nucleotides. RefSeq annotates it as U2 spliceosomal RNA. The transcript has a single exon. The record is from RefSeq and is a predicted model, not a curated record. Lineage: Eukaryota; Metazoa; Mollusca; Cephalopoda; Octopoda; Octopodidae.